AUUCCAGCUCCAAUAGCGUAUAUUAAAGUUGUUGCAGUUAAAAAGCUCGUAGUUGAACUUCUGGCUAUUCUUCCAGCUGGCUUCGGUCGCUGUAAGAGUGGUCAUCCGCUUGGGAACUACGUUCGAACUUCACUGUUCGGCGUAAGGAACAGGCAUUUUACUUAGAAAAAAUUAGAGUGUUCAAGGCAGGCUAUCGCCCUGAAUACACAAGCUUGGAAUAAUGAAAUAGGACUAUUUCCAUUUUAUUGGUUAUUGGAAUUAGUAAUGAUUAAUAGGGACAGUUGGGGACAUUAGUAUUUAAUUGUCAGAGGUGAAAUUCUUGGAUUUAUUAAAGACUAACUUAUGCGAAAGCAUUUGUCAAGGAUGUUUUCAUUA
Molecule: ribosomal RNA, 375 nt
Rfam family: Eukaryotic small subunit ribosomal RNA